RNAcentral lists this ribosomal RNA (496 nucleotides) under uncultured bacterium. Its description in RNAcentral is "bacterial SSU rRNA". It matches the Rfam family "Bacterial small subunit ribosomal RNA", at positions 29 to 518 of the family's 1533-position model. The record is from RNAcentral.
AUGAACGCUAGCGACAGGCCUAACACAUGCGAGUCGAGGGGCAGCACAAGGAGCAAUCUGAGGUGGCGACCGGCGCACGGGUGAGUAACACGUAUGCAACCUGCCUGUAAGCGGGGAAUAACCCGUUGAAAGACGGACUAAUACCGCAUAAUACUAAAUUACUGCAUGGUAAUUUAUUUAAACAUUUAUGGCUUACAGAUGGGCAUGCGCAUGAUUAGCUAGUUGGAGAGGUAACGGCUCCCCAAGGCAACGAUCAUUAGGGGUUCUGAGAGGAAGGUCCCCCACACUGGUACUGAGACACGGACCAGACUCCUACGGGAGGCAGCAGUGAGGAAUAUUGGUCAAUGGACGAGAGUCUGAACCAGCCAAGUCGCGUGCAGGAAGAAUGUUCCCUAUGGAUUGUAAACUGCUUUUGCAGGGGAAUAAAGUGCAUCACGUGUGAUGUUUUGUAUGUACUCUGCGAAUAAGGAUCGGCUAACUCCGUGCCAGCCGCCGC